Molecule: transfer RNA, 76 nt
Filed under: Escherichia coli KOEGE 10 (25a)
Lineage: Bacteria; Pseudomonadati; Pseudomonadota; Gammaproteobacteria; Enterobacterales; Enterobacteriaceae
Description: tRNA-Lys
Rfam family: tRNA
About the family: Transfer RNA (tRNA) molecules are approximately 80 nucleotides in length.
Source: RNAcentral
GGGUGAUUAGCUCAGCUGGGAGAGCACCUCCCUUUUAAGGAGUUGGUCGCAGGUUCGAAUCCUGCACGACCCACCA